Molecule: transfer RNA, 781 nt
Filed under: Geobacillus stearothermophilus
Lineage: Bacteria; Bacillati; Bacillota; Bacilli; Caryophanales; Anoxybacillaceae
Description: 16S-23S ribosomal RNA intergenic spacer
Rfam family: tRNA (bases 444-517)
Source: RNAcentral
AAGGACGAAAAGCGGAGGCCGCCCGCCUAUCGGCGAAACGCGCUGGAGGGCCUGCGAGGAGGCUGUUGCCGCCGCAGCAGGACCGAAGCGUCGCGAGCCGAUGGCGGCCGGAGCUAGACAGUACGAAAAGCGGAAGCGCCGCGUUCGGCUCUCGAAGCCAAAUGUUCUUCACCCGGAGGGGUGCUGGCACCCCGAGGGGAAAGGUUAUUUGGCAGAAGAGAGCCAGGCGCUGGAGCUAGACAAGACGAAAAGCGGAGGCGAGCGUUUCGCCGCGAUGGGCAAAUGUUCUUCGCCUAGAGGGAUGUUUACAUCCCGAAGGCGAAGGUUAUUUGACCCCGAGCGGCGGCGAGCCGGAGCUAGACAGAAUUUCUUGACAAAACCUAUCGGUUUGAUUAUAAUGACGCUUGUCGUUUUGUUUAGUUUUGAGGGAACUUUCCCUCCAUGGGCCUAUAGCUCAGCUGGUCAGAGCGCACGCCUGAUAAGCGUGAGGUCGGUGGUUCAAGUCCACUUAGGCCCAUCGGUUGCGGGGCCUUAGCUCAGCUGGGAGAGCGCCUGCUUUGCACGCAGGAGGUCAUCGGUUCGAUCCCGAUAGGCUCCACCACUUUUCUUGAUUCGUUCCUUGAAAACUAGAUAACCGGAAAAGCGGAAGGCGAGUGUUUCGCCGCGAUGGGCAAAUGUUCUUCGCCCGCAGGGGUGCUGGCACCCCGAGGGGGAAGGUUAUUUGACCCCGAGCGGCGGCGAGCCGACGCUAGACAAUAAGGAAGAAGCCGAGAGCGCUGUA